GUAAGUUUUGGGCAGGUGGCGACGCUCCUCCGGAGGGCGAGCUGGGAAUCCUUAAUGUGUCCAGCCUCCACGUCUCCGCUAUUCAUGGCUCUGCUCACUCCCAGAAUUCCCUGCGUCGCAGCGUGAGCCAGAUGAUGGACAGGAAGUCGCUGACGGGGGAGGAGGAAGUGUGGGACUCUCACAUUCAAGGCCACGACAGCGGGAUGUUUAUGGAGGACGAGGAGUUUGUCGACACUAUUAAAGGCUUCAGCACGGUGCGGAAGGAACACACCAUGUUUACCGACACUAACCUGUGACCUGCUGUGACCUUUGAACUCCACCCCUCACCUUGUCAGGUCAGACAGGUCGACUGGAGGGGCAGGCCCUCACGAAGGGAGGUCGGAGGGGUACACAAAUCAAGCCAUAGACAUUCACUAAUAACAUUACCUAAUAACUUAUCCUAUUUGACUAUGACGGCAACCGACCUACCAAACAACACGCACGGGUUAAAUAAAAACGAAUAAUAAUAUGUGCAAAUAUGACUAACUGAACAAUAUCUGAGAAAAGGACUUGCUUCCAUGAAAGAGAAGACUCCCGAGGAGGUAGAGGAACUGAGAGAGAUUUCACUGAUUUUUCAGUUUCACUGAGAAUAACAUUUCCCUGUUUCAAUGAGCAGUAUCAAGGCAUCCAUUUUAAUUCAAAUUCGUUUUUGGUUUUCUUAUAGCUACACUGACCUAACAUACAAAGAGAAGAGAAGUGUUUUUCAUUUUAUAUAAACAUAUUUGUAUAUUGACUUGCUGUUGCUCUGAAUGUAAGAAUGCCUUUUGAUAAGUCGCUGCACAAUUUCUGUGUACAGAUUGUAUCUAAUAAAAGUGUGGACCAAUUUA
Coregonus clupeaformis (lake whitefish) is the source of this 866-nucleotide long non-coding RNA. RefSeq lists it as uncharacterized. The record is from RefSeq and is a predicted model, not a curated record. The transcript is spliced from 2 exons. Lineage: Eukaryota; Metazoa; Chordata; Actinopteri; Salmoniformes; Salmonidae.